RNAcentral lists this ribosomal RNA (1397 nucleotides) under Burkholderia multivorans. Its description in RNAcentral is "partial 23S ribosomal RNA". It matches the Rfam family "Bacterial large subunit ribosomal RNA", at positions 1 to 1445 of the family's 2925-position model. Lineage: Bacteria; Pseudomonadati; Pseudomonadota; Betaproteobacteria; Burkholderiales; Burkholderiaceae. The record is from RNAcentral.
GGUCAAGCGAACAAGUGCAUGUGGUGGAUGCCUUGGCGAUCACAGGCGAUGAAGGACGCGGUAGCCUGCGAAAAGCCCCGGGGAGCUGGCAAACAAGCUUUGAUCCGGGGAUGUCCGAAUGGGGAAACCCACUCCUUAUGGAGUAUCCAUAGCUGAAUACAUAGGCUAUGUGAAGCGAACGCGGUGAACUGAAACAUCUAAGUAACCGCAGGAAAAGAAAUCAACCGAGAUUCCCAAAGUAGUGGCGAGCGAAAUGGGAUGAGCCUUGUACUCUUUAUUUGUAUUGUUAGCCGAACGCUCUGGAAAGUGCGGCCAUAGCAGGUGAUAGCCCUGUAGGCGAAAACAGUAUGAAAGAACUAGGUGUACGACAAGUAGGGCGGGACACGUGAAAUCCUGUCUGAAGAUGGGGGGACCAUCCUCCAAGGCUAAAUACUCGUGAUCGACCGAUAGUGAACCAGUACCGUGAGGGAAAGGCGAAAAGAACCCCGGGAGGGGAGUGAAAUAGAUCCUGAAACCGCAUGCAUACAAACAGUCGGAGCCUCGUAAGGGGUGACGGCGUACCUUUUGUAUAAUGGGUCAGCGACUUACGUUCAGUAGCAAGCUUAACCGUAUAGGGCAGGCGUAGCGAAAGCGAGUCCGAAUAGGGCGUUCAGUUGCUGGGCGUAGACCCGAAACCAGGUGAUCUAUCCAUGGCCAGGAUGAAGGUGCGGUAACACGUACUGGAGGUCCGAACCCACUAACGUUGAAAAGUUAGGGGAUGAGCUGUGGAUAGGGGUGAAAGGCUAAACAAACCUGGAAAUAGCUGGUUCUCUCCGAAAACUAUUUAGGUAGUGCCUCGUGUCUCACCUUCGGGGGUAGAGCACUGUCAUGGUUGGGGGGUCUAUUGCAGAUUACCCCGCCAUAGCAAACUCCGAAUACCGAAGAGUGCAAUCACGGGAGACAGACAUCGGGUGCUAACGUCCGGUGUCAAGAGGGAAACAACCCAGACCGCCAGCUAAGGUCCCCAAAUAUGGCUAAGUGGGAAACGAAGUGGGAAGGCUAAAACAGUCAGGAGGUUGGCUUAGAAGCAGCCACCCUUUAAAGAAAGCGUAAUAGCUCACUGAUCGAGUCGUCCUGCGCGGAAGAUGUAACGGGGCUAAGCCAUAUACCGAAGCUGCGGAUGCGUGCUUGCACGCAUGGUAGGAGAGCGUUCCGUAAGCCUGCGAAGGUGCCUUGUAAAGGGUGCUGGAGGUAUCGGAAGUGCGAAUGCUGACAUGAGUAGCGAUAAAGGGGGUGAAAGGCCCCCUCGCCGUAAGCCCAAGGUUUCCUACGCAACGUUCAUCGGCGUAGGGUGAGUCGGCCCCUAAGGCGAGGCAGAAAUGCGUAGCUGAUGGGAAGCAGGUCAAUAUUCCUGCACC